Molecule: ribosomal RNA, 253 nt
Filed under: uncultured bacterium
Lineage: Bacteria
Description: partial 16S ribosomal RNA
Rfam family: Bacterial small subunit ribosomal RNA
Source: RNAcentral
GACGGAGGGGGCAAGCGUUGUCCGGACUCACUGGGCGUAAAGAGCUUGUAGGCGGUUUGUCGCGUCUGCUGUGAAAUCUCAAGGCUCAACCUUGAGCUUGCAGUGGGUACGGGCAGACUAGAGUGUGGUAGGGGAGACUGGAAUUCCUGGUGUAGCGGUGAAAUGCGCAGAUAUCAGGAGGAACACCGAUGGCGAAGGCAGGUCUCUGGGCCACUACUGACGCUGAGAAGCGAAAGCAUGGGGAGCGAACAGG